This 24-nucleotide non-coding RNA is filed under the name Rattus norvegicus (Norway rat). The record is from RNAcentral. Lineage: Eukaryota; Metazoa; Chordata; Mammalia; Rodentia; Muridae.
UGGGCUCUGCUUUAUGGAGUUGAU